This 366-nucleotide long non-coding RNA is filed under the name Homo sapiens (human). RNAcentral's name for it is "non-protein coding lnc-RAB12-2:3". The record is from RNAcentral. Lineage: Eukaryota; Metazoa; Chordata; Mammalia; Primates; Hominidae.
AGCCACAUCAUGCUCAACAAUGGCACCAAGACGGACAUGCUAGGGCUAGGCACCUGGAAGUCCCCUCCAGGCCAGGUGGCCGAGGCUGUGAAGGUAGCAAUCAACACUGUAUACCGCCACAUCGACUGCAGCCACGUGCACCAGAACAAGGACCAGGAGCAGCUCAAGGAGCAGGUGGUGAGGCGUGAGUGGCUCUUCAUCAUCAGCAAGCCAUGGGGCAUAUGCCACAGGAAGUGCCUGGUGAGAGGAUCCUGCCGAAAGGUGCUCAGUGGCCUGGAGCUGGACUACCUGGACCUCCACCUUAUUCACUGGCCAACAGGCUGUCAUCCUGGGAAGGAAUUUUCCUUUUUAGAUGAAUCAGGCAAC